CGAGCUGCAACCAUCCAUCACAGGCUGGCCUCCAUGUACCACAGCUGUCUGAGGAAUCAGGUUGGUGAUGAACACCUUAGGAAACAACACCGGGUGCUGGCAGAUCUUCAUUACAGCAAGGCCGCAAAGCUGUUCCAGCUGCUCAAAGAUGCUCCCUGCGAACUGCUUAGAGUGCAGCUAGAGAGAGUAGCAUUUGCUGAAUUUCAGAUGACUAGUAAGUCUUACUUUUCAUUUCUCAGAUAUGUAUGCAUUGGCUUAGUGCUGGAUUGUCUUAGAGUAAGGCAGGCCUGUGAAUCUAAAUAAUACUAUUUUCUUUUUAAUUUGCCCCAUAGUUAAUGACUUUGGGUAGAGAGGGGGAGAAAUCACUACACUUUUUGAAGUGCUUUUUAAAACUUAGAGAAAUGUAUUAGAUUAUGUUCAGUGACUAGAAAUAUUGAGAUAUGGCCCAUGACCCCUAGUUUG
This 462-nucleotide small RNA is filed under the name Pongo abelii (Sumatran orangutan). Its description in RNAcentral is "retained intron". The record is from RNAcentral. Lineage: Eukaryota; Metazoa; Chordata; Mammalia; Primates; Hominidae.